GACGUAGGGCGCGAGCGUUGUCCGGAUUUAUUGGGCGUAAAGAGCUCGUAGGCGGCUUGUCGCGUCGAAUGUGAAAACUCGGGGCUCAACUCCGAGCUUGCAUUCGAUACGGGCAGGCUAGAGUUCGGUAGGGGAGACUGGAAUUCCUGGUGUAGCGGUGAAAUGCGCAGAUAUCAGGAGGAACACCGAUGGCGAAGGCAGGUCUCUGGGCCGAUACUGACGCUGAGGAGCGAAAGCGUGGGGAGCGAACAGGAUUAGAACCUCCGUAGGUACCGU
RNAcentral lists this ribosomal RNA (276 nucleotides) under uncultured bacterium. Its description in RNAcentral is "partial 16S ribosomal RNA". It matches the Rfam family "Bacterial small subunit ribosomal RNA", at positions 524 to 798 of the family's 1533-position model. The record is from RNAcentral.